Molecule: ribosomal RNA, 480 nt
Filed under: uncultured bacterium
Lineage: Bacteria
Description: bacterial SSU rRNA
Rfam family: Bacterial small subunit ribosomal RNA
Source: RNAcentral
CAGGACGAACGCUGGCGGCGUGCCUAACACAUGCAAGUCGAACGGAGUAAGAAUUCGGUUUUUACUUAGUGGCGAACGGGUGAGUAACGCGUGAACAACCUGCCUUCCUGAGGGGGAUAACACCUGGAAACAAGUGCUAAUACCGCAUAAGACCACAGAGCCGCAUGGCCCAGGGGUCAAAGGAGAGAUCCGCAGGAAGAGGGGUUCGCGUCCCAUUAGCUAGUUGGCGGGGCAAUGGCCCACCAAGGCGACGAUGGGUAGCCGAGCUGAGAGGCUGAUCGGCCACACUGGAACUGAGACACGGUCCAGACUCCUACGGGAGGCAGCAGUGGGGAAUAUUGGGCAAUGGGCGCAAGCCUGAACCCCAGCAACGCCGCGUGAGGGAAGAAGGUCUUCGGAUUGUAAACCUCUGUCCUAUGUGACGAAGGAAGUGACGGUAGCAUAGGAGGAAGCCCCGGCUAACUACGUGCCAGCCGCCGC